AGAGUUUGAUCAUGGCUCAGGAUGAACGCUGGCGGCGUGCUUAACACAUGCAAGUCGAACGGAAAGGCCUGUACUUGUACAGGUACUCGAGUGGCGAACGGGUGAGUAACACGUGGGUGAUCUGCCCUGCACUAUGGGAUAAGCUUGGGAAACUGGGUCUAAUACCAUAUAGGACCACUUCUUGGAUGUUGUGGUGGAAAGCUUUUGCGGUGUGGGAUGAGCCUGCGGCCUAUCAGCUUGUUGGUGGGGUAAUGGCCUACCAAGGCGGCGACGGGUAUCCGGCCUGAGAGGGUGUACGGACACAUUGGGACUGAGAUACGGCCCAGACUCCUACGGGAGGCAGCAGUGGGGAAUAUUGCACAAUGGGCGCAAGCCUGAUGCAGCGACGCCGCGUGGGGGAUGACGGCCUUCGGGUUGUAAACUCCUUUCGCUAUCGACGAAGCCACCUUUGGUGGUGACGGUAGGUAGAUAAGAAGCACCGGCUAACUACGUGCCAGCAGCCGCGGUAAUACGUAGGGUGCAAGCGUUGUCCGGAAUUACUGGGCGUAAAGAGCUCGUAGGUGGUUUGUCGCGUCGUCUGUGAAAUCCCGGGGCUUAACUUCGGGCGUGCAGGCGAUACGGGCAUAACUUGAGUGCUGUAGGGGAGACUGGAAUUCCUGGUGUAGCGGUGAAAUGCGCAGAUAUCAGGAGGAACACCGAUGGCGAAGGCAGGUCUCUGGGCAGUAACUGACGCUGAGGAGCGAAAGCAUGGGUAGCGAACAGGAUUAGAUACCCUGGUAGUCC
Molecule: ribosomal RNA, 783 nt
Filed under: uncultured bacterium
Lineage: Bacteria
Description: bacterial SSU rRNA
Rfam family: Bacterial small subunit ribosomal RNA
Source: RNAcentral